UUAUAUGUACAUUCUGCUGUUUGACUUGUCAUCUACGUGGUUUCAGUACUUUGGUGGAACAAACUUUGGUCGGACUUCCGGCGGACCGUUCUAUAUUACUAGUUAUGAUUAUGAUGCUCCAAUUGAUGAAUAUGGCUUACUGAGUGAGCCUAAAUGGUCCCAAAAGAUGUGAGAGCUCCAUUGCGACACUAUCUUUUGGAACAUUUUGACAUCAACUUGAAUGAUGAGACAACUAAAAAAUGCAUUGAUGAGCAAAUGAGAAAAGCUUGGAAGGGUCAUAAGUACAAGUUGCACUUAUAUUUCAAAGAAAUUGGAGGAGAAAAUGAUCUUGAGAUGGCCAAGAGCAAACGUCAUCCAGACUUAAAAUAAGAUCAUCAAGAAGAUUGGAUGAUUUUGUGUGAUCGUUGGUGUUCUCCUAAGGAAUGAACUUUACAUUAAUUUACUAAGGAAUGAACUUUAUGAAGUUUUUUUUUUUAUUUUGGUAGGGGUAACCUUAAAAUGAUAACUUUAUGACUUAUUUUAGUAUUGAACAUUAUAAAUAAUUUUAGUAUUAAACAUUUUAUUAUUGUAUGGU
Molecule: long non-coding RNA, 574 nt
Organism: Humulus lupulus (European hop)
Lineage: Eukaryota; Viridiplantae; Streptophyta; Magnoliopsida; Rosales; Cannabaceae
Exons: 3
Source: RefSeq, a predicted model, not a curated record